Molecule: transfer RNA, 70 nt
Filed under: Camelus bactrianus (Bactrian camel)
Lineage: Eukaryota; Metazoa; Chordata; Mammalia; Artiodactyla; Camelidae
Also listed under: 2 other names
Rfam family: tRNA
About the family: Transfer RNA (tRNA) molecules are approximately 80 nucleotides in length.
Source: Rfam by way of RNAcentral
GGCAGUAUAGCUCAUGGUAGAGUGUGUGCUUAGCAUGCAUGAGGUACUGGGAUUAAACCCAGUACCUCCU